UACGUAGGCAGCAAGCGUUGUUCGGAAUUACUGGGCGUAAAGAGUGUGUAGGCGGUGCUCUAAGUUCGGUGUGAAAUCUCCCGGCUCAACUGGGAGGGUGCGCCGGAAACUGGAAUGCUUGAGCGUGGGAGAGGAAAGCGGAAUUCCUGGUGUAGCGGUGAAAUGCGUAGAUAUCAGGAGGAACACCUGCGGUGUAGACGGCUUUCUGGACCAUAGCUGACGCUGAGACACGAAAGCGUGGGUAGCAAACAGG
RNAcentral lists this ribosomal RNA (253 nucleotides) under uncultured bacterium. Its description in RNAcentral is "partial 16S ribosomal RNA". It matches the Rfam family "Bacterial small subunit ribosomal RNA", at positions 524 to 776 of the family's 1533-position model. The record is from RNAcentral.